GCUGAUAAGGAAGAGAGCAGAUCAUGAGGAAGAAAUGCCAUCAAGCAAGUCCUUGCGUUACGGACCCACCCUUCGCUCGUGGCCAGCUGCUCUGACAUCUUCCGAACCGGUCUCCCUGCCUCUACUCAUCUCCCUGAGACGUAUCCUCAACAGCGACAGAUUUACUGACAAGUCCGAACUGACAAUUACAUCCUCCCACUUGAGAGUCCUAAGGGGAAGGAGGUCCUGCUCUUCCGGGAGAUUUGCUACCAUUUCCUCGGCCUCGCUCUGGGGCAAAGCACCCACCCUCCUCACGAAUCUACGCCCCCAUUAAAGAAUAUCCGCACUUUGUUCCAGGCAAUGUUAUUUGCUUCCUGCUAUGGUCUAGUAAUGGGGAAUUUUAAUUGUGAGUUUCAGUGUGCUCUAAUGAAAAAGAAUGUAAUUCUAUGUUUUUGUUUUGUUCUGUGGUUCUCCUCAGGACCUUGCACUUGCCAAGAAGGAAUUCUACUGAGCUACACCCCAGACCAACAUUUUCUUUCUUGCACUGCUGGGGUAUUGAGAGCUUAUAAUACAUUAUAUAAAAAGUGGCUGAAAAGCCAGGGCAUCUGAAACAGAGCCGUGUCAUGUGUAUGAUAAAUG
This 618-nucleotide long non-coding RNA is filed under the name Chinchilla lanigera (long-tailed chinchilla). RNAcentral's name for it is "lncRNA (ENSCLAG00000025558.1)". Lineage: Eukaryota; Metazoa; Chordata; Mammalia; Rodentia; Chinchillidae. The record is from RNAcentral.